Molecule: ribosomal RNA, 402 nt
Filed under: uncultured prokaryote
Description: bacterial SSU rRNA
Rfam family: Bacterial small subunit ribosomal RNA
Source: RNAcentral
UAACGAAUAUUAGAAAUGGACCAAAGUCUGAUCUAGCAACACCGCGUGUCCGAAGAAGGCCUUCGGGUUGUAAAGCACUUUUUGGAAGGAUUAGGAAGGAAUGUACUUCCAGAAUAAGUCUCGGCUAACUACGUGCCAGCAGCCGCGGUAACACGUAGGAGGCAAACGUUAUCCGGAAUUACUGGGCGUAAAGCGCGUGUAGGCGGUCCUGCAAGUCUGAUGUGAAAGCCCCGGGCUUAACCCGGGAAGUGCAUUGGAAACUGUGGGACUUGAGUACUGGAGAGGAUGGGGGAAUUCCGGGUGUAGCGGUGGAAUGCGCAGAUAUCCGGAGGAACACCAGUGGCGAGAGCGUCCUCCUGGACCAUUCCUGACACUCAGACGCGAAAGCUAGGGUAGGAAACG